UGCAGUCGAGCGGUAGCACAGAGAGCUUGCUCUCGGGUGACGAGCGGCGGACGGGUGAGUAAUGUCUGGGAAACUGCCUGAUGGAGGGGGAUAACUACUGGAAACGGUAGCUAAUACCGCAUAACGUCGCAAGACCAAAGUGGGGGACCUUCGGGCCUCAUGCCAUCAGAUGUGCCCAGAUGGGAUUAGCUAGUAGGUGGGGUAACGGCUCACCUAGGCGACGAUCCCUAGCUGGUCUGAGAGGAUGACCAGCCACACUGGAACUGAGACACGGUCCAGACUCCUACGGGAGGCAGCAGUGGGGAAUAUUGCACAAUGGGCGCAAGCCUGAUGCAGCCAUGCCGCGUGUGUGAAGAAGGCCUUCGGGUUGUAAAGCACUUUCAGCGGGGAGGAAGGCGAUAAGGUUAAUAACCUCGUCGAUUGACGUUACCCGCAGAAGAAGCACCGGCUAACUCCGUGCCAGCAGCCGCGGUAAUACGGAGGGUGCAAGCGUUAAUCGGAAUUACUGGGCGUAAAGCGCACGCAGGCGGUCUGUCAAGUCGGAUGUGAAAUCCCCGGGCUCAACCUGGGAACUGCAUUCGAAACUGGCAGGCUAGAGUCUUGUAGAGGGGGGUAGAAUUCCAGGUGUAGCGGUGAAAUGCGUAGAGAUCUGGAGGAAUACCGGUGGCGAAGGCGGCCCCCUGGACAAAGACUGACGCUCAGGUGCGAAAGCGUGGGGAGCAAACAGGAGUAGAUACCCUGGUAGUCCACGCCGUAAACGAUGUCGAUUUGGAGGUUGUGCCCUUGAGGCGUGGCUUCCGGAGCUACGCGUUAAAUCGACCGCCUGGGGAGUACGGCCGCAAGGUUAAAACUCAAAUGAAUUGACGGGGCCCGCACAAGCGGUGGAGCAUGUGGUUUAAUUCGAUGCAACGCGAGAACCUUACCUGGUCUUGACAUCCACAGAACUU
Molecule: ribosomal RNA, 947 nt
Filed under: Klebsiella pneumoniae
Lineage: Bacteria; Pseudomonadati; Pseudomonadota; Gammaproteobacteria; Enterobacterales; Enterobacteriaceae
Description: bacterial SSU rRNA
Rfam family: Bacterial small subunit ribosomal RNA
Source: RNAcentral